Long non-coding RNA from Mobula hypostoma (lesser devil ray), 1182 nucleotides. RefSeq lists it as uncharacterized. The transcript has 4 exons. The record is from RefSeq and is a predicted model, not a curated record. Lineage: Eukaryota; Metazoa; Chordata; Chondrichthyes; Myliobatiformes; Myliobatidae.
GGAGUUCCCACAUUCUCCCUGUGAUCAUCCUGAGUGCUCCGAUUUCUUCCCACACCCCAAAGACGGGCCGAUUGGCAGAUUAGUUGCCCCGAAUGUGCAGGAGGCCGAGUCCGACGCUCCCAGCACGAAUGGAAAGCGUGUGAGGGGUUGGCCAGAUUCGAACACGGGACUAUUUGCCUCAAAGUCCAGUGCUGAUGCCUCAUCACCACCGGCCGACUUCUUUACCAGCUGCCUGACCUGAGGCCCAGGCCUUUGAAAGUAGGUGUGACCCAAACCUGACAAGUCGAAAUAGUCAGGGGUGACCUGAGCCUCUGACUUCAGGGAAAUUCUCAAGAAAUUGUUAUCUCAAUUCCACAGACAAAACAAAUUCCAAGAGGCUGAGGAUCAAUCAGGAUGUAUCAGUGCAGAAAGUUUAAGAUCUCACCUGACAGAAAUCACGAGAGCACUGGCUGCCAUGGCGAUUUUAGUCGGUACUUGCAUAGCACAUCCUUGUGAUAUGGAAGGAAAGCCGAUCACCCACGCAAUCACAGAAAGUGUUUAAAUGCUCUGCACAGAUGUACAGAUUCACAAGGGGUGCAGUGUUUUUCCCAGGGAAAAGGAAUCAAAAACUAGAGGGCAUACAUUUAAGAAUGCAAUUUAGAAGGGACACGAUCGGCAGCUUCUUCACACAGAGGGUGGUGCUUAGAUGGAACGAGCUGCCAGAGGAAGUGAGUGAGGCCGGUACAAGGCAAUAACAACAUUCAAAGGACACCUGAAGAGGUAGAUGGAUGGAAAAGAUUUUCAAGAUUAAAAUUUCUUUAUCAUGUAUACAUCAGAACAUGCUGUUUAAUGCGUUAUUUGUGCUAACAACCAACACACCCAAGUGCGUGCUGGAGGCAGGUCACGGGUGUCGUCAUGCAUUUCACCACCAACGCAGCAUGCCCAAAAUCCUUGGCGGAUCAACAAAGGAACAGAACAACAACAGCAAAGCAAGUCCCCGUUCCUCCCUCCAAUCUGUGCACGUACACUGUCCUCCGACCCCAAACAAACAAGCAUCAAUCAAACAAUAUAAUGCACAAGAUUACUCAGAUAUUAUAAAAUAUCAAAUUACACAACAGCAUCAGCUUCUGGACUUCUGCUUUGACAUUCGGGCCUCGAUCCACAGCACUGAGCCCAGGACUGAACACUAGGCCUCGAUCUCCA